AUUGAGGUUAGGGCGGCCCCAUCCGUCGGUCUCCGCCAGCUAGGAUCUCCCCCGCCGUCCGCCCCCGCCCCUCGUCUGCCUCCCCCGCCCGCGCCUCCGCCCGCGCUUCCCUUUCCUGCCUCGCGCCCCACUCCCUUUCCUCCCCUCCCUGUUUCCCUUCCUGUCCUUCCCAGCUCACGCUCUCUUUCCCUGCCGCCUGCCUUUCUUUUUUCCUUUUUUUGCAUUGGCGUCUUGGGGCUGUUACACACACGCGCGCUGUCCAUUGCAGCUUACAUAAAGGCGGGCGCGAUUAUGCAAUUAUAUUGUUAGCGAUAUUUCAAGAGCAAUGGCUCGUUUUCUUAGGAUUUCAACACGAAGGCAUCAUGCAUUUUUGAAAAACUAGUAUUGAGAAUAAUACCUUGCAACGUAAAGAAUGUUUUUUGGUAUUUUUACACAAUCUCUACUUUGACCAAACGAGUCUGGACAGUUUUCUUUUAAUGGAAAAUAGGAGAAAUGGAGGAAAGAAUGGAAAUGAUUUCUGAAAGGCCAAAAGAGAGUAUGUAUUCCUGGAACAAAACUGCAGAGAAAAGUGAUUUUGAAGCUGUAGAAGCACUUAUGUCAAUGAGCUGCAGUUGGAAGUCUGAUUUUAAGAAAUACGUUGAAAACAGACCUGUUACACCAGUAUCUGAUUUGUCAGAGGAAGAGAAUCUGCUUCCGGGAACACCUGAUUUUCAUACAAUCCCAGCAUUUCAGCAAAAGUCACUCCUCAGAUUGAUUCAUCAAGGAUAAGGAGUCACAUCUGUAGCCACCCAGGAUGUGGCAAGACAUACUUUAAAAGUUCCCAUCUGAAGGCCCACACGAGGACGCACACAGGAGAAAAGCCUUUCAGCUGUAGCUGGAAAGGUUGUGAAAGGAGGUUUGCCCGUUCUGAUGAACUGUCCAGACACAGGCGAACCCACACGGGUGAGAAGAAAUUUGCGUGCCCCAUGUGUGACCGGCGGUUCAUGAGGAGUGACCAUUUGACCAAGCAUGCCCGGCGCCAUCUAUCAGCCAAGAAGCUACCAAACUGGCAGAUGGAAGUGAGCAAGCUAAAUGACAUUGCUCUACCUCCAACCCCUGCUCCCACACAGUGACAGACCGGAAAGUGAAGAGUCAGAACUAACUUUGGUCUCAGCGGGAGCCAGUGGUGAUGUAAAAAUGCUUCCACUGCAAGUCUGUGGCCCCACAACGUGGGCUUAAAGCAGAAGCCCCACAGCCUGGCACGAAGGCCCCGCCUGGGUUAGGUGACUAAAAGGGCUUCGGCCACAGGCAGGUCACAGAAAGGCAGGUUUCAUUUCUUAUCACAUAAGAGAGAUGAGAAAGCUUUUAUUCCUUUGAAUAUUUUUUGAAGGUUUCAGAUGAGGUCAACACAGGUAGCACAGAUUUUGAAUCUGUGUGCAUAUUUGUUACUUUACUUUUGCUGUUUAUACUUGAGACCAACUUUUCAAUGUGAUUCUUCUAAAGCACUGGUUUCAAGAAUAUGGAGGCUGGAAGGAAAUAAACAUUACGGUACAGACAUGGAGAUGUAAAAUGAGUUUGUAUUAUUACAAAUAUUGUCAUCUUUUUCUAGAGUUAUCUUCUUUAUUAUUCCUAGUCUUUCCAGUCAACAUCGUGGAUGUAGUGAUUAAAUAUAUCUAGAACUAUCAUUUUUACACUAUUGUGAAUAUUUGGAAUUGAACGACUGUAUAUUGCUAAGAGGGCCCAAAGAAUUGGAAUCCUCCUUAAUUUAAUUGCUUUGAAGCAUAGCUACAAUUUGUUUUUGCAUUUUUGUUUUGAAAGUUUAACAAAUGACUGUAUCUAGGCAUUUCAUUAUGCUUUGAACUUUAGUUUGCCUGCAGUUUCUUGUGUAGAUUUGAAAAUUGUAUACCAAUGUGUUUUCUGUAGACUCUAAGAUACACUGCACUUUGUUUAGAAAAAAAACUGAAGAUGAAAUAUAUAUUGUAAAGAAGGGAUAUUAAGAAUCUUAGAUAACUUCUUGAAAAAGAUGGCUUAUGUCAUCAGUAAAGUACCUUUAUGUUAUGAGGAUAUAAUGUGUGCUUUAUUGAAUUAGAAAAUUAGUGACCAUUAUUCACAGGUGGACAAAUGUUGAUGUUGUCCUGUUAAUUUAUAGGCGUUUUUUGGGGAUGUGGAGGUAGUUGGGUAGAAAAAUUAUUAGAACAUUCACUUUUGUUAACAGUAUUUCUCUUUUAUUCUGUUAUAUAGUGGAUGAUAUACACAGUGGCAAAACAAAAGUACAUUGCUUAAAAUAUAUAGUGAAAAAUGUCACUAUAUCUUCCCAUUUAACAUUGUUUUUGUAUAUUGGGUGUAGAUUUCUGACAUCAAAACUUGGACCCUUGGAAAACAAAAGUUUUAAUUAAAAAAAAUCCUUGUGACUUACAAUUUGCACAAUAUUUCUUUUGUUGUACUUUAUAUCUUGUUUACAAUAAAGAAUUCCCUUUGGUAUAUGGAA
RNAcentral lists this long non-coding RNA (2467 nucleotides) under Homo sapiens (human). Its description in RNAcentral is "non-protein coding lnc-KLF10-2:2". Lineage: Eukaryota; Metazoa; Chordata; Mammalia; Primates; Hominidae. The record is from RNAcentral.